This is a long non-coding RNA of Brachypodium distachyon (stiff brome), 1776 nucleotides long. RefSeq lists it as uncharacterized. The transcript has 8 exons. The record is from RefSeq and is a predicted model, not a curated record. NCBI's taxonomy places the organism in Eukaryota, Viridiplantae, Streptophyta, Magnoliopsida, Poales, Poaceae.
GGGAGACGGGGGACGGUUUCUCCCGAGCUGCUCCCGCGUGCCCACCUCUCCACUCGUUUGCGGUUCCAGUCGAUUUGGGUUCCCAUUGGCGAGUGGCGACCGCGACGAGCGUAGGCGGCGGCAGCGGCUUCUGUCGGAUUUCUGCUGAAAUUGCGGCGAGGCGAGGUGGCGACGGCUGUGCUGUGGCGUUCGUCAGUGACCGAAGGGGCGAGGAGCAGCUUACCUCGAGGUCGGUUCUGAUUUCGACGGCAUGACCGUCCACACGGACCAGCAGCCCCGAGCCCUUGAUAUCCACCGGCGGCAGUGGCCGCCCCUCUCUCUCCCUCCCUCCCUCAGGCCAAGAGCAUACGGCGAAGACGACUCUCCCUCCACUUCACCCCGGUUGGCGGCGGCUUCGCACGGCUCGACCGUCGAGGGGCCCUCCCGCACAGCACGACCUCCGACCUCCCUGAGCCGCCGCAGGUCCUCAUCUUCCCUCCACCGCGUGUUCGACGAGAUGCACGCCCGCCCGCUCUCAUCUACUGUUAAGGAUUCAGUGCAGUUUCGGUGAAGAAGGGAGCAGUGGAGUUUCAUUUCAUGCCGUUAGGAAAUCAGGAGGCUGGGGUGAUAUGACCAAGGUUCUUAAAUUGGAUCCACCAGUUCAGCGGAUUUUCGUUGUUGCUCGUCAAAGAUCUUCUAGUUCUGUGUGCUGAGGUCAUUGAUGCCUUCUACAAGGCUCGUGCUCAGGAAAUGGAAAUUAGAGAGAUGGAUUUAAAUGCAAAGGUUGACGAGUUAGCAAGGAGCAACAGGCUACUCAACAUAAAGCAUCGGCAACUACUUCUGAAGCUACUGGAAAUGCUCUGCUAGAAGCUGAAUCAUUUUAUUAAUCUCAAGUUGAAAGACUUGGAAGAGAAGAAGGGAGAGUUGAACAGAAAUUAUUGGAAGACAAAGUGCAAAGCUCGGAGAAAGUAUGGUCAUUGGUUCAAGAAGAAUCUUUGAAAAAUCCGAGCCCUGGUACAUUUCUCCAUGCAUAUUAACCUUUUUAUUCACUAAUCGUACUUUCUUCAUCCUUAGUUGCAGAAGUAUAGGCAGCAUAGAUUGAUGCAGUGCCAAUGAUAAUUAGUUUGGUGGUUCUCUUUACUUCUUAAACAGCUAAUUAAUCAAUGUAGUAGUUUGUAUCUUUAAACAGCUAGUGUGAAAUAUGAAGUCAUUAGUAUAAUUACACGUAUUGUGAACAUUCAGCAGUUUGCUUCCGUAAAACAUUGAAUUCCUCGUUUUGUCUUUAGUACAUGCAAGUUUUGUUUACUGAAUGCAUACUGACUGAAUGUACAGGAACAUUUUUUUAUUGCCUAUAGUACUGGAUGGUCCGUGUAGUACAUGAUGAACUGACCUUUCGAAAUUGUUUAAAUUUACUUACCUUGAUUUCUCCUUUUAGCCUCACAAGGUGUGCACUACAUAAGGUUUACAGAAGGUUCAAAGCCAGGCAAAAUUUUGCAAGAACCCAGUUCAGCUUCAGUACAAACAGCAGCGACCCAUGUGCCGCGCCAAGGCACGCCCCAGCAGCCACCAAGGGGAUUGUUAGACUUCAAGCUUGCCGGCAGUGUGUUCACGAGUGUGAUGUGCAUCUUCUUCAGGAGCACUCUGCAUAGUUAGUCUCAAGAUGCAUAUACCUCUUUGUUUUGUUUUGCUUUCUGAACUUCGUGAAGUACUCACAAGCCCACCACAUUUUACCUCUUGUAAUUCAUUCACAUUUUCUUUUAUACAGUAGGAAAAACUUCCACGAUAUAAGAAAUAUUU